GCAAACCUGCAGUAGGCUUUUCCACUUGAGGAACCUUCUCUGAACUAACAGAUUUCAGCCACUUCGCUUCCUGGUUGGGCCGAGCAAUGCCAUUGUUCCCUUCGUGGUUCUUUGUUGACAACUCCUUUCCUUGAAUACUUGGAACAUUGUCAGAUUUGACUGAAUCAGGCUCUGCAUUCACAGUCAAAAUGAAACAUCCGUAUCAAAUUGAGCAUUAGCAUUGGACUUGGGAGCAACAGAACUAGACAGUCCCAAAGACGCCCAAAGUUAGGAGAGAGGAGAUGAGUGAAAAAACCAUUAAAAGAAUAUUUCGACAUUUUCAACUCAAAAGCAGCAAAAUUGCCGAGGGUCGACUGGAAACAGCCUCUCUGCCCUUUCGGGCAGGGGUAAGGCUCGUCUACAUAUUACCCUCCCCAGACUCCACCUGGUGGGAAUAUACUGGGUAGUUGUUGUUGUUGUUGUU
Molecule: long non-coding RNA, 463 nt
Filed under: Nicotiana benthamiana
Lineage: Eukaryota; Viridiplantae; Streptophyta; Magnoliopsida; Solanales; Solanaceae
Description: long non-coding RNA (NBEN_LNC032926)
Source: RNAcentral